This 75-nucleotide antisense RNA is filed under the name Amycolatopsis pretoriensis. RNAcentral describes it as "ASpks TB sRNA". It matches the Rfam family "ASpks TB sRNA". Lineage: Bacteria; Bacillati; Actinomycetota; Actinomycetes; Pseudonocardiales; Pseudonocardiaceae. The record is from RNAcentral.
CUUCACCGAGCCGAUCCACAAGGGACGGUCGGCGGCGCUCUCCUUGCCGUAGGUGGCGAGCAGCGCCUGGACCUC